ACGCCUUUGAAGCCUGUGUAUGUUGGAAACUGCCGCCAGAACCCCUGUCUUCUUGGUUUGGAUUCCGGUAUUUGCGCGUCGAAAUUAAGGUUGUUAUUGAACCACCGGAGCUUCGGGGAGUGCCGGAGCUGCCGCCUGAUCGGUUCAGAGGGUCGCUGCUGCUUUGUUUCUCGUGAAAAGUGUUGUUGCCGCGAUUCUUGAUGCCGCUGUUGAUAUUGUCUGAAAAUAAACAAGGUUGCUACCGCUGCUGUAAAAUUGAAAAUAAACAAAAGAGGAAUUGAUAAGUCUAACUACUGAGCUUUGACUAAAUCGAGGUAGGGGUUUUUCUUAAAA
This is a non-coding RNA of Arachis ipaensis, 333 nucleotides long. NCBI's taxonomy places the organism in Eukaryota, Viridiplantae, Streptophyta, Magnoliopsida, Fabales, Fabaceae. The record is from RefSeq and is a predicted model, not a curated record.